GACGAACGCUGGCGGCGUGCUUAACACAUGCAAGUCGAACGGAAAGGCCCUGCUUUUGUGGGUUUCUCGUUUGGCGAACGGGUGAGUAACACGUGAGUAACCUGCCCUUGACUUUGGGAUAACUUCAGGAAACUGGGGCUAAUACCGGAUAGGAGCUCCUGCUGCAUGGUGGGGGUUGGAAAGUUUCGGCGGUUGGGGAUGGACUCGCGGCUUAUCAGCUUGUUGGUGGGGUAGUGGCUUACCAAGGCUUUGACGGGUAGCCGGCCUGAGAGGGUUACCGGGCACAUUGGGACUGAGAUACGGACCAGAAUCCUACGGGAGGCAGCAGUGGGGAAUAUUGCACAAUGGGCGGAAGCGUGAUGCAGCAACGCCGCGUGCGGGAUGACGGCCUUCGGGUUGUAAACAGCUUUCGCCUGUGACGAAGCGUGAGUGACGGUAAUGGGUAAAGAAGCACCGGCUAACUACGUG
RNAcentral lists this ribosomal RNA (468 nucleotides) under uncultured bacterium. RNAcentral's name for it is "partial 16S ribosomal RNA". It matches the Rfam family "Bacterial small subunit ribosomal RNA", at positions 28 to 507 of the family's 1533-position model. The record is from RNAcentral.